This 658-nucleotide ribosomal RNA is filed under the name Phyllosticta capitalensis. Its description in RNAcentral is "eukaryotic LSU rRNA". The stretch from base 291 to 444 matches the Rfam family "5.8S ribosomal RNA". Lineage: Eukaryota; Fungi; Ascomycota; Dothideomycetes; Botryosphaeriales; Phyllostictaceae. The record is from RNAcentral.
UUAGAGGAAGUAAAAGUCGUAACAAGGUUUCCGUAGGUGAACCUGCGGAAGGAUCAUUACUGAAAUGUAAUAACUUCUAUUGAAAGGUUCCAGAGUAGGCGCUACAACGCCGAAAUGACCUUCUCACCCUUGUGUACUCACUAUGUUGCUUUGGCGGGUCGACCUGGUUCCGACCCAGGCGGCCGGCGCCCCCAGCCUUAACUGGCCAGGACGCCCGGCUAAGUGCCCGCCAGUAUACAAAACUCAAGAAUUCAUUUUGUGAAGUCCUGAUAUAUCAUUUAAUUGAUUAAAACUUUCAACAACGGAUCUCUUGGUUCUGGCAUCGAUGAAGAACGCAGCGAAAUGCGAUAAGUAAUGUGAAUUGCAGAAUUCAGUGAAUCAUCGAAUCUUUGAACGCACAUUGCGCCCUCUGGUAUUCCGGAGGGCAUGCCUGUUCGAGCGUCAUUUCAACCCUCAAGCUCUGCUUGGUAUUGGGCAACGUCCGCUGCCGGACGUGCCUUGAAGACCUCGGCGACGGCGUCCUAGCCUCGAGCGUAGUAGUAAAAUAUCUCGCUUUGGAGUGCUGGGCGACGGCCGCCGGACAAUCGACCUUCGGUCUAUUUUUCCAAGGUUGACCUCGGAUCAGGUAGGGAUACCCGCUGAACUUAAGCAUAUCAUA